Molecule: ribosomal RNA, 1378 nt
Filed under: Rhinebothroides sp. MZUSP 7792
Lineage: Eukaryota; Metazoa; Platyhelminthes; Cestoda; Rhinebothriidea; Rhinebothriidae
Description: SSU rRNA
Rfam family: Eukaryotic small subunit ribosomal RNA
Source: RNAcentral
GGCAAGUCUGGUGCCAGCAGCCGCGGUAACUCCAGCUCCAAUAGCGUAUAUUAAAGUUGCUGCAGUUAAAAAGCUCGUAGUUGGAUCUCGGUAUCACUGGGGCCUGCGGACGGAACCUUUGCUGUCGUCUGGCUGAGACAAAAUCGUCAAGGCUGCGGCGCGUUGGAACCUGAAGUAAUAGUCCUGGUGUCACCUUUCAGCCAUGUCUGUGGUGAAAUACCCGCAGGUGUAGGCGAGUGUCGGGCGGUGCUUUGCCUUAGUGUAGGGCCCGUCGGCUCGUGUGCAUGCCUUUGGAUGCACUUAAGUGUGUGUCCGAGGCGGAUGGCACGUUUACUUUGAACAAAUUUGAGUGCUCAAACCAGGCCGAUGUUGCCUGAAAAGUUUUGCAUGGAAUAAUGGAAUAGGACUUCGGUUCUAUUUCGUUGGUUUUCGGAUCCGAAGUAAUGAUCAAAAGAGACAGGCGGGGACGUUUGUAUGGCUGCGCUAGAGGUGAAAUUCAUGGACCGUAGCCAGACAAACUAAAGCGAAAGCAUUCGUCAAGCAUGUUUUCAUUGGCCAUGAGCGAAAGUCAGAGGCUCGAAGACGAUCAGAUACCGUCCUAGUUCUGACCAUAAACGAUGCCAACUGACGAUCCGUGGUGGUAGUAUUAAGACCUUCCCCACGGGCAGUCCCCGGGAAACCAUUAAGUCUUUGGGUUCCGGGGGAAGUAUGGUUGCAAAGCUGAAACUUAAAGGAAUUGACGGAAGGGCACCACCAGGAGUGGAGCCUGCGGCUUAAUUUGACUCAACACGGGAAAACUCACCCGGCCCGGACACUGUGAGGAUUGACAGAUUGAUAGCUCUUUCUUGAUUCAGUGGUUGGUGGUGCAUGGCCGUUCUUAGUUGGUGGAGCGAUUUGUCUGGUUAAUUCCGAUAACGAACGAGACUCCAGCCUGCUAAUUAGUGUGUCCGUCCUCUGUACCUGUGUAGGCGGCGUUCGACAAGGCUGCUAUCCGUUUGCUCGAGUUGCGGUGCUACGCAAGUGGUGCUGUGACGAGGGUUAGGUGGCUGGCUGGCUCGACGUUAGCUUCCGGGCACGGCGCGGAUACCUACUUCUUAGAGGGACAAGCGGGAAAAGCCGCACGAAAUUGAGCAAUAACAGGUCUGUGAUGCCCUUAGAUGUCCGGGGCCGCACGCGCGCUACAAUGACGGUGCCAACGAGUCUGACCUUCUGGCCCGAAAGGGUUGGGUAAACUGGUCAAUCACCGUCAUGACAGGGAUCGGGGCUUGGAAUUGUUCCCCGUGAACGAGGAAUUCCUAGUAAGUGCAAGUCAUAAGCUUGCGCUGAUUACGUCCCUGCCCUUUGUACACACCGCCCGUCGCUACUACCGAUUGAAUGG